GGCUGGUCAGAUGGUAGUGGGUUAUCAGAACUUAUUAACAUCAGUGUCACUGAAGUUGGCAUUCAAUCCCCCCACUGCUAAAUUUGACUGGCUUUUA
Macaca fascicularis (crab-eating macaque) is the source of this 97-nucleotide Y RNA. It matches the Rfam family "Y RNA". Rfam says of the family: Y RNAs are components of the Ro ribonucleoprotein particle (Ro RNP), in association with Ro60 and La proteins. The Y RNAs and Ro60 and La proteins are well conserved, but the function of the Ro RNP is not known. The record is from Ensembl. Lineage: Eukaryota; Metazoa; Chordata; Mammalia; Primates; Cercopithecidae.